Molecule: non-coding RNA, 66 nt
Organism: Escherichia coli str. K-12 substr. MG1655
Lineage: Bacteria; Pseudomonadati; Pseudomonadota; Gammaproteobacteria; Enterobacterales; Enterobacteriaceae
Source: Rfam
GGCCGGAUAAGCAAAGCGCAUCCGGCAUUCAACGCCUGAUGCGACGCUGGCGCGUCUUAUCAGGCC